CAGUCGCCACGGUAAUACGAAGGGUGCAAGCGUUACUCGGAAUUACUGGGCGUAAAGCGUGCGUAGGUGGUGGUUUAAGUCCGUUGUGAAAGCCCUGGGCUCAACCUGGGAAUUGCAGUGGAUACUGGGUCACUAGAGUGUGGUAGAGGAUAGUGGAAUUUCCGGUGUAGCAGUGAAAUGCGUAGAGAUCGGAAGGAACAUCUGUGGCGAAGGCGACUAUCUGGGCCAACACUGACACUGAGGCACGAAAGCGUGGGGAGCAAACAGGAUUAGAUACCCCCGUAGUCCCUGUCUCUUUACA
RNAcentral lists this ribosomal RNA (301 nucleotides) under uncultured bacterium. RNAcentral describes it as "partial 16S ribosomal RNA". It matches the Rfam family "Bacterial small subunit ribosomal RNA", at positions 509 to 808 of the family's 1533-position model. The record is from RNAcentral.